CACAAAGCUACACUUGGGUGGAAUUCC
RNAcentral lists this non-coding RNA (27 nucleotides) under Mus musculus (house mouse). The record is from RNAcentral. Lineage: Eukaryota; Metazoa; Chordata; Mammalia; Rodentia; Muridae.